AAAAAGAGGUAAACCCUCCGUGUCCAACUUUGAUUGGCCGUCUUAUAUGAAAUUUUUUUAUAAUUCGUACUUUUAUUGUUGUUAGAUGAUAAAACAUGAUUAAUACUUUGUGCGUGACUUAUCUUUUUAAUUUUUUUAAAUAAAACGGACGGUAAACGUUGGGCACGGAAAUCAGAGUUUGUCUUUUU
This is a microRNA precursor of Oryza sativa Indica Group (long-grained rice), 188 nucleotides long. It matches the Rfam family "MIR812 microRNA precursor family". Lineage: Eukaryota; Viridiplantae; Streptophyta; Magnoliopsida; Poales; Poaceae. The record is from Rfam.